GCAACCUUUGUAUAUUGGUGCGUGUUCUGCAAGAGCGAGAAGGGGGACCGAUUCAUUCUUGCCUUCAUGCCAUGUACUGCGCGGCCAUGGCGACGGCUUAAAUAUUGAUAGGGCUGGCGUCAUGAGCUUCAGAGACGAUCGAUAACGACUGCAAACGUGAUUCAAAGACCACGUGGUGAUUGUUGUCAGUGAGCAAGGAGUGGGGGCGCCUUUGUCCAUGGGCAGGUCAUGCGCCGGUGCCUCGUGGGGGAAGUGGCUGAUGUCACGAGAGAACGGCGAAAGUAAACACGAGAUUGUGAAUUUUGUGAAGGAGAUAUUAUCGGAAAUAUGUGUAACAGAGGACGAAUUACAUAUGAUACACUGAAGGUUCGAGUCAAAACACGCGAGGCCAAAAUUCGAGAGCUGAGCUGCCAGGCGGUCGACAGGUGAAACAGCACUUUCCAGCGAACGAAGGUCAAGGCAUCUGAGGUGUGCUUGACCUCCCGAACAUCCCCUGAGCGACACUCUGCCUCCUACACGGGAGAACAGGACCCUAUCCUACAAAGGAUUUAGUUACACAGUUGAGGAUGCCAACAGGAUCUGCGCUUUCACUCGCUGGGUCCGAAUAAUAUCGAAAGUGGCGCCCCCGAACACCCACGUGGCGCGGACGGCAGUAAACAAGAUAACAAAGGAGACGUUUCUGCCAGGUCCUCAGUCGCGGCCAUGAUAACAGGAGCACCAAUGCUCUCUGCAAAUGCUCUCUAUUAGCGACCAAUGGAGGCCAACUACGCCUCGUCCAAAAACACACAAAGAUGCAAAGACGCAGCAUCGAUGUGUGCGGCAAGAAGAUGGUGUGCGUGAAGCUAGGUUUGAGUAUGAUAUUGGUAUGCAUUUCAACUGUUUCUUGUGAU
Penaeus chinensis is the source of this 890-nucleotide long non-coding RNA. RefSeq lists it as uncharacterized. The transcript is spliced from 3 exons. NCBI's taxonomy places the organism in Eukaryota, Metazoa, Arthropoda, Malacostraca, Decapoda, Penaeidae. The record is from RefSeq and is a predicted model, not a curated record.